This 925-nucleotide ribosomal RNA is filed under the name Bacillus sp. (in: firmicutes). RNAcentral's name for it is "bacterial SSU rRNA". It matches the Rfam family "Bacterial small subunit ribosomal RNA", at positions 453 to 1370 of the family's 1533-position model. Lineage: Bacteria; Bacillati; Bacillota; Bacilli; Caryophanales; Bacillaceae. The record is from RNAcentral.
GUACCGUUCGAAUAGGGCGGUACCUUGACGGUACCUAACCAGAAAGCCACGGCUAACUACGUGCCAGCAGCCGCGGUAAUACGUAGGUGGCAAGCGUUGUCCGGAAUUAUUGGGCGUAAAGCGCGCGCAGGCGGUUUCUUAAGUCUGAUGUGAAAGCCCCCGGCUCAACCGGGGAGGGUCAUUGGAAACUGGGGAACUUGAGUGCAGAAGAGGAGAGUGGAAUUCCACGUGUAGCGGUGAAAUGCGUAGAGAUGUGGAGGAACACCAGUGGCGAAGGCGACUCUCUGGUCUGUAACUGACGCUGAGGCGCGAAAGCGUGGGGAGCGAACAGGAUUAGAUACCCUGGUAGUCCACGCCGUAAACGAUGAGUGCUAAGUGUUAGAGGGUUUCCGCCCUUUAGUGCUGCAGCAAACGCAUUAAGCACUCCGCCUGGGGAGUACGGUCGCAAGACUGAAACUCAAAGGAAUUGACGGGGGCCCGCACAAGCGGUGGAGCAUGUGGUUUAAUUCGAAGCAACGCGAAGAACCUUACCAGGUCUUGACAUCCUCUGACAACCCUAGAGAUAGGGCUUCCCCUUCGGGGGCAGAGUGACAGGUGGUGCAUGGUUGUCGUCAGCUCGUGUCGUGAGAUGUUGGGUUAAGUCCCGCAACGAGCGCAACCCUUGAUCUUAGUUGCCAGCAUUCAGUUGGGCACUCUAAGGUGACUGCCGGUGACAAACCGGAGGAAGGUGGGGAUGACGUCAAAUCAUCAUGCCCCUUAUGACCUGGGCUACACACGUGCUACAAUGGGCAGAACAAAGGGCAGCGAAGCCGCGAGGCUAAGCCAAUCCCACAAAUCUGUUCUCAGUUCGGAUCGCAGUCUGCAACUCGACUGCGUGAAGCUGGAAUCGCUAGUAAUCGCGGAUCAGCAUGCCGCGGUGAAUACG